Oncorhynchus keta (chum salmon) is the source of this 1779-nucleotide long non-coding RNA. RefSeq lists it as uncharacterized. Lineage: Eukaryota; Metazoa; Chordata; Actinopteri; Salmoniformes; Salmonidae. The record is from RefSeq and is a predicted model, not a curated record. The transcript has 3 exons.
UGCAGAUUUUUCGGGCGACGGUGGCAUCCGUAACGAGAGGGAGAAAGAUCUGAUUCUUAUGGCAUUCAUCAGUAGAACACGCCUGACUCUCCUCCACCAGUCAUUCAAGGAGAACGGUCUAAUGCCUCCCAUCAGAAAGAGAGCCGGCCCAGGCAAGCACAGGUUACACCUGAAUCAUGAGGACUUACAGCGAGUGGUGAACUUCAUCAAAACUACACAGAGGAUAUUGUAUUAAUAGUAUUACCAGGACGCCACGUAGGACACAAACUUUGGAAAGCUGCUGCCAUCUCAUGUGACAAAAGCAGCAAUGUGGAAUCGAUGACACCACUUGAUGCACUAUCCUUCUGACCCUAUGCAGCCAGGUCCCAUCUAGUUUUUAACUCGUUGCAGGUGUGGCUUGUUUGGUGUCUGCUGUGAAGGAAUACCACAAGUCAACUACUUGAUUGAUGAAGGCAUGUCAUCUAGCAAAGGCAGCAGCGCAGUCAUCAACUACAUGCACGAUUUCUUCACCAACUACGGAGUUUGGGAAACAUGUGGGGGCCUGAAUUGUGAUAACUGCAGUGACCAGAACAAGAUUGUGCUGCUCCACCACAGUCUGGACCUUCACUUCCUUCACUUCCAACUCCAGUCAUGUAUGACAAAUAUAAUGUAGGAUAAUUCAUAUUAAUGUCUAAAGGCUUCUGUCAUUCAGAUAAGAAAGGCCAGUGUCUGUAUCGCACCACAACAAUCCGCCACCUUUCCUCAUAUACCAUUGAAACAAUUAGGGUUAUUUCGCUCAUGUUCUCAACUUCCUAUCAUUGUUCAGCAGCCAAAAGGCACAAUCCUAGUCAUAUUUACAACCCAUGCAAGUUGUUGCUUCGUUAGAUCUUCCCUCUUUGUAAAGGAUAUUUUAAUCUCUGUCAUAUGAAACCACUCGCAUUUGCGUUGUGCUUUGUGGAACGGUGUUUUCCUGCGUUCCUUUCAUUUUGGAACAUUCACGCUUAAAGCCUACUGCCGUGUGCGUAUUGCUGCACGUAUAAUGUGAAGAAAUAGCCUAAACAUUUUAAGCUAAACGUUCUGAUCUGUUAUAUCAGUCUCGUUGCUUUUAAACAUUUUUUUUUAUGUACAGUGGAUGUAAUUUGGGAUCUAUUGUCCCACAACUGUCCCAGAGUCUGUUUGGAAUACUUAUUCCUCGGACAGAAUGACCAGCUUGACCAAUAGAAUAGGUCAACGUUUGUACUAUGGGGGAUAGUAGAUUGACUAAAGCUAGCUCCCUUUGCUGUUCGUUACAUCUUGUGUGCUGAGGAAAUGUAAAAGUGGACAGUUAUUCUAACAUCUUCAAAAUGCUCCUUGGAAUUCGAUAAGAAGGACGCACGCCAUUGCAUCCCCGAUGGGUUUGUUUUCACUAGUAGCCUACGUCAGGGCUGCGAUGCCCGUGAGAAGGACCCAAUCACGUAACGGGCAUUGGUUAAUAAGAAUUGAGGUAUCUGAGAGAGCCAUGUGAGUGAGAGAGGGAAUUUUAAUUAUUAUAUUCAGCCGAAGGGCACAACGGACACUUUGGCCGCAAGGCAUGGAUUUUUUUAAGGGGCAUUACGGCCAGGGGGCAGUGACAGUCAAGGUAGUACAUGCCGCUGGGAAAUUAAAGGCCUGAUAUAGCAAAUAUGAUGUCCUCUAACCUCUCUCCCACUCCACAGAAGCUUAAGUAUAUGUUUACAGAAAUAAAUCAUUCCUGGAACACAAUGAUCAGCCCUGACUUGCAUGAGCCAAACCAGUUCGUUAUCUAUCUGCAAUACCCCACUG